RNAcentral lists this ribosomal RNA (249 nucleotides) under uncultured bacterium. Its description in RNAcentral is "partial 16S ribosomal RNA". It matches the Rfam family "Bacterial small subunit ribosomal RNA", at positions 109 to 353 of the family's 1533-position model. The record is from RNAcentral.
AGUAACGCGUGAGCAACCUGUCCUUCAGAGGGGGACGAACGGCUGGAAACGGCCGCUAAUACCGCAUGACAUAUCCGGAUGGCAUCGUCUGGAUAUCAAAGGAGAAAUCCGCUGAAGGGUGGGCUCGCGUCCGAUUAGCUAGUUGGUAGGGUAACAGCCUACCAAGGCGACGAUCGGUAGCCGAACUGAGAGGUUGAUCGGCCGCAUUGGGACUGAGACACGGCCCAGACUCCUACGGGAGGCAGCAUG